UACGGAGGGUGCAAGCGUUAUCCGGAUUCACUGGGUUUAAAGGGUGCGUAGGCGGGUAAGUAAGUCCGUGGUGAAAUCUCUGAGCUUAACUCAGAAACUGCCGUGGAUACUAUUUGCCUUGAAUAUUGUGGAGGUGAGCGGAAUAUGUCAUGUAGCGGUGAAAUGCUUAGAUAUGACAUAGAACACCAAUUGCGAAGGCAGCUCACUACACAAUCAUUGACGCUGAGGCACGAAAGCGUGGGGAUCAAAACAGG
Molecule: ribosomal RNA, 254 nt
Filed under: uncultured bacterium
Lineage: Bacteria
Description: partial 16S ribosomal RNA
Rfam family: Bacterial small subunit ribosomal RNA
Source: RNAcentral